UCAAUCAAGGGCAUUGUACAAGAGAAUAAGGGUAUGGGUUUUGAUCCUGACAAACACUGCAUUUCUUAAUGUUGAUUUGGGAGGCAAAGUUGAAUGCUUACAGUCACGGGAAAUGGGGUUGGUCAGAAGAACCAAUUCGAGAAGUCUUUCUUGGAAAAGUAUGAGGAAGAAGCUCCUGAACUGUCAAAAGGUCAAAGAACUCCCACUAGAAAUUGUCGGUUGAUGUAGAUGUAACGGCUCAAAUAAAUGAAGAUUUUUCAAAAUUUCUCUGGAAAGUUAAUGCAUUUUAGGAGGAUAAUCAUCCGUUCUGCAUCAAACUCAAGGACGCUUCAAUAACUACAGAUAUAACAGUAUAUUGAGCUGAGGAUUUUAAGCAUACCAUACUCGGAUACUUCAACCAUUUCCUGUCAAUUCUUAGGUCACGGCCGAAAUAGUAGAUGGACUAAUAAUGUAUGUGGUGGAUAAGCAGCUAUUUUUUGAAGUUCAGUCAUGUUUUCAGCAAAGUCAGUUUGAUGAUAGAUACUCAAGUCUACCAUUUCUUAGCAACUUGUGAAUGUCUUAGGGGAAAUUCUAGGGAAAAUUUAGUGACAACUUUUCUCACACAAUUUGAUUGGAAAAUGAAAUGAAGGAGAUGAAGAAACAGGAAGAUAUGGAAGAGGAGGAAGAAAAGAAGAAAGAGAAAAAUGGUUUGGUUUGCAUAAUUCGUAUGAGCAGAGUCGGAAAUGGUGUUUUCAUAGGAUGUCUAGCUGUUCGUAGUAAUAUUAUCGACUGGGAGAUGACUCCACAGAGAGCAACAUUUCUCGAAGGUUUGAGGAGAAGCUAAUUAUACACACCUGAAGAGUUAUAUCUAAAGGUCAGGGGUCCUUGUCAUUAUGGGCCCCAAGGAGAAGUCAUUAGUGCUGAUGCAGUUAACCAUGAGACAACGCUACUUUAUCUUCCAGAUUGUCAAAUGCGGAUUGAAAACGUUUCUGAAUUGAACGAAAAAAUAAUUUCUCUCCUGUUUUCGCUAUAGGUUCACAUAAAUGGGAUUAAAGCGAUUUGUCUAUAAAGAGCCUUAUGAAGUUGGACUGAUAAUCAUGGAUGUCAAGAUGGGCCUCGUAAUGGUAGAUUUCAAGUCAGUAAAUGGGCACCAAAACUGUUCAGUGAAGUGGUGGCUUUGUUCCUUCGUAUAAAAAAAUUCUUGAGAAUUCUUUAGUUGCCGGAGCUAUAAUACUGACAAUGAACCUGCAUGCAAUGCAAAAAACAUGUACCUGUAUGCAAUGGAAUUAGGAGGCUUUCCAUGCCAACACACAAUUUGCACAAACUGCAUGUUGGCGUGGAAGGCGUCCUAUUGGUACUUGUAAACCAAGUUGAUGAAGAUUACCCAGUACGUGAAAGUGAGUUUGGGCUUUCUGUGUGAAUCAAAGGCUCUAUAUUAUGUCCGUCCGCUGGAUUAUGUUAACAUAUCUAAUCUUCAAUGUAAGUUGGAAGGACAGGCAAAUGAGUCAUCUGUGCGUAAACUGCUCAAUAAGAUGGCUUAUGAUGGAUUUAUGGAAGACUAGGCAAUGGAGAUUAGUGGUCUCCACUCUGUUGGUUCUGUUCUUACAAGGACUCGAGAAAGAUCAGUUGAUGCUCAUUAGAAUGGAUCGUCUAGAAUUCAGGGGCAAACAACACACCCAUCCACAGAAAUGAGCAGGGUCAAGGAAGACUGGUAUACCAGGGAAUGAUAAGCAUAAUGGUAUGGAUGGGAGAAGGGGAGGAUUCAUCAACUGCGGUAAGGGUGAUGACACCCUCUUCAGUCGUCACAGCCAGGAAAAGUGCUCCAAGAAAACUACCUCGGUGAAAGAACCUAUCCUUCAAAACAUGAAGCGUAAGAAGUAUCAAGGUAGCGUGUUGGAGCGACAGAUUACUGAAAUGGAAAGAGGAAUAGCAUAUAAAGUUGUGGUGAAUGUAAAUGACCAAGUCGGAAACAGGCAUUAGUGCUUCUUACUGUUUCAGAGCAUUUGUUGCUAAUGUAAAUUCUUACAUUUAAAAUCCCUACAUAAUAAUUGCAUGUUUAAGUGAAUGAAUAAUAUUUGGCCGUU
Long non-coding RNA from Papaver somniferum (opium poppy), 2063 nucleotides. RefSeq lists it as uncharacterized. The record is from RefSeq and is a predicted model, not a curated record. Lineage: Eukaryota; Viridiplantae; Streptophyta; Magnoliopsida; Ranunculales; Papaveraceae. The transcript has 10 exons.